AUCCGUAGCUGGUCUGAGAGGACGAUCAGCCACACUGGGACUGAGAUACGGCCCAGACUCCUACGGGAGGCAGCAGUGGGGAAUAUUGGACAAUGGGGGAAACCCUGAUCCAGUCAUGCCGCGUGUGUGAAGAAGGCCUUAGGGUUGUAAAGCACUUUCAGCGAGGAAGAAAAAUUAUAAAAGAAUAAAUUAUAAGUAUGACGUUACUCGCAGAAGAAGCACCGGCUAACUCCGUGCCAGCAGCCGCGGUAAAACGGAGGGUGCAAGCGUUAAUCGGAAUUACUGGGCGUAAAGGGCAUGUAGGUGGUUUGUUAAGCCUUAUGUGAAAGCCCUAGGCUUAACCUAGGAAAUGGAUAAGGAACUGACAAGCUAGAGUGCAGUAGAGGAAGGUAGAAUUCCAGGUGUAGCGGUGAAAUGCGUAGAUAUCUGGAGGAAUACCAGUGGCGAAGGCGACCUUCUGGACUGACACUGACGCUGAGGUGCGAAAGCGUGGGUAGCAAACAGGAUUAGAUACCCUGGUAGUCCACGCUGUAAACGAUAUCAACUAGCCGUUGGGUUAUUAAAUAAUUUGGUGGCGUAGCUAACGCGAUAAGUUGAUCGCCUGGGGAGUACGGCCGCAAGGCUAAAACUCAAAUGAAUUGACGGGGGCCCGCACAAGCGGUGGAGCAUGUGGUUUAAUUCGAUGCAACGCGAAGAACCUUACCUACUCUUGACAUCCAAAGUACUUUCCAGAGAUGGAAGGGUGCCUUAGGGAACUUUGAGACAGGUGCUGCAUGGCUGUCGUCAGCUCGUGUUGUGAAAUGUUGGGUUAAGUCCCGUAACGAGCGCAACCCUUGUCCUUAUUUGCCAGCGCGUAAUGGUGGGAACUUUAAGGAGACUGCUGGUGAUAAACCGGAGGAAGGUGGGGACGACGUCAAGUCAUCAUG
Molecule: ribosomal RNA, 926 nt
Filed under: Candidatus Portiera aleyrodidarum (primary endosymbiont of Bemisia tabaci)
Lineage: Bacteria; Pseudomonadati; Pseudomonadota; Gammaproteobacteria; Johnevansiales (SeqCode); Johnevansiaceae (SeqCode)
Description: bacterial SSU rRNA
Rfam family: Bacterial small subunit ribosomal RNA
Source: RNAcentral